UCGGGUAACUCUUUAUUGGAUGUUCAUCCUACUUGGAUAUCUGAGUAAUUCUAGAGCUAAUACAUGCAAUUCGGUUCCAACCGCGUGAGCGGGAAGAACUCUUUUAUUACAUCAAAACCGAUCGGUCCGUCGUUCCGCGUCGGACCGUCCGAUUGGUGACUCUGGAUAACUUUGGGCUUUUUUUAUGGCCUCGAGCCGGCGACGUAUUUUUCAAGUGUCCGCCCUAUCAACUUUCGAUGGACGUGAUAUGCCUACCACGGUCGUAACGGGUAGCGGGGAAUCAGGGUUCGAUUCCGGAGAGGAGCCAUGAAACACGGCUACCACAUCCCAAGGAAGGCAGCAGGCGCGCAAAUUACCCACUCCUGGAACGGGGAGGGUAGUGACCAAAAAUAACAAUUACGGGCUCUCUUUUCGAGGCUCCGUAUUGGAAUGACUACACCUUAAAUCCCUUAACGAGUACCUUAUU
Molecule: ribosomal RNA, 466 nt
Filed under: marine Metazoa environmental sample
Lineage: Eukaryota; Metazoa
Description: bacterial SSU rRNA
Rfam family: Eukaryotic small subunit ribosomal RNA
Source: RNAcentral